CUUGUUCUUUAAAUGAGGACUCGUAUCAACGGCACUACGAGGGCUAUACUGUCUCCUUUUUCUAAUCAGUGAAACUGAUCUCCCCGUGAAGAAGCGGGGAUUAUAAUAUAAGACGAGAAGACCCCAUGGAGCUUUAAACUCACCAUGCACCUCUGUGCUUUCAUACCCCUAAACACAACAGACCUGCAUGUUAGUUUUAGGUUGGGGUGACCACGGAGUAUAACUUAACCUCCACAGCAAACGGGCUAAUACCCUUAUCCACGAGACACAACUCUAAGAAUUACUAAACUAAUGCUUACGACCCGAUAUUCGAUCCAUGAACCAAGUUACCCUGGGGAUAACAGCGCAAUCUACUUCAAGAGCCCAUAUCGACAAGUAG
RNAcentral lists this ribosomal RNA (379 nucleotides) under Rana kukunoris (plateau brown frog). Its description in RNAcentral is "partial large subunit ribosomal RNA". It matches the Rfam family "Bacterial large subunit ribosomal RNA", at positions 1968 to 2515 of the family's 2925-position model. Lineage: Eukaryota; Metazoa; Chordata; Amphibia; Anura; Ranidae. The record is from RNAcentral.